CCCAGCUGCAGGCAACUGCCUAGGUUGCCUUGUACUUAGGCAAGUGUUACACUGCUGGGAGAAAGGCAGCCAGUAGCUGGCAGGCAUCCUGGACCUGGUGAAUGCAAACU
This is a small nucleolar RNA of Ochotona princeps (American pika), 110 nucleotides long. Its record names the gene SNORA74. It matches the Rfam family "Small nucleolar RNA SNORA74". Rfam says of the family: U19 belongs to the H/ACA class of snoRNAs. snoRNAs bind a number of proteins (including dyskerin, Gar1p and Nop10p in the case of the H/ACA class) to form snoRNP complexes. This class are thought to guide the sites of modification of uridines to pseudouridines by forming direct base pairing interactions with substrate RNAs. Lineage: Eukaryota; Metazoa; Chordata; Mammalia; Lagomorpha; Ochotonidae. The record is from Ensembl.